Molecule: ribosomal RNA, 406 nt
Filed under: uncultured bacterium
Lineage: Bacteria
Description: partial 16S ribosomal RNA
Rfam family: Bacterial small subunit ribosomal RNA
Source: RNAcentral
GAUGAACGCUAGCUACAGGCUUAACACAUGCAAGUCGAGCGACCGGCGCACGGGUGAGUAACACGUAUCCAACCUGCCCUUUACUCGGGGAUAGCCUUUCGAAAGUAAGAUUACUACCCGAACAUAAGGAUGGGGAUGCGUUCCUUUAGGUUGUUGGUGAGGUAACGGCUCACCAAGCCUUCGAUGGAGAGGGGUUCGGAGUGGAAGGUCCCCCACAGUGGAACUGGGACACGUUCCAAACUCAUACGGGAGGCAGCAGUGAGGAAUAUUGGUCAAUGGGCGCUAGCCUGAACCAGCCAAGUAGCGUGAAGGAUGAAUGCUUAUGGGUCAUAAACUUCUUUUAUAUAAGAAUAUGUAUUAUAUGAAUAAGGAUCGGCUAACUCCGUGCCAGCCGCCGCGGUAAUUC